GACCCAUCAACCGAAUCGAUUGACCAGUCAAAUUAGCCUGACUGUUGUCGGUCCUUCUUGGCAUCUUUUCUUCAAUUCAUCGUCACCAUGAACGAAUCUGUGACCCGUUCCACAUCAUCUUCUUUACAUUUGUAAAGGUUCCCAUAAAUUUUAGAGUCUAUCAUGCUUUCACAGAACUUCUAUGAACUUUCAUUUGUCUGUUGGAAAUGGAUUAAAGAUACUCCUUCAUACUAGUAAAGCUGGUAAUAACUGAAGCACACCAACAGAAUGUUAUUAGAUUGAUCAAGUAAUUCCAUAAUGACUAUUAGAAUGCAAAUGAUUGGAGUUUCUCAAGUCAUAGGAAAGCCAUGCAAAAGGCACAUUGGGUUACAAACCAAGUACCAUCUUAGUUUAGAUAUAUGGUUUGGAAUUAUGUUCCCAUCUUCUUCUUCUUCUUUUCUUCUUUUUCUUUUUCCAUCUGGAGUUAUGAUCCUUGUAGGCGUGGUGACUGAAAUGACUCUUAAUGGUUGGUUUAGAUGACCCUUCAACCUCUUAUUUUCAUGUGUUUCUGUUUCCUUGAUUUAGAAAAUUUCAUUUACCAUUUUGAAAAAUGUUAGCUCCUCUUUUCAUGCAAUUUAGUCAUUAUGGAUUUUAUUUUUAUUUUUAUUUUUGGUUAUGUAAUUUGUCCUGUAACAAAAAAUCUACAUGACUAAUGACAUUUUUUGUUCUCCAAGUUCUUGGGAACAAGUACCAAAGCAAGUUGCUUGAAAUAAUUGAUGCUAGGAACUUGAAAGAUCGGUUGGUCCAUAGGAAACGAUCUCGAUUGCCUCCCUCAUCCGAGAAAGCAGGUAAACGGCUUCCUGCUCUGCAUGUUGAUGGGUCAAAUAAGAUGGAAAUCUUAAGAUGGUUUGUUAGGAAUCUUUCAAAUUUUAGAGGUAUGUUCACGUGUGUGCAUGAUUGUCGGCAUGGGUGCAUAACAGAUGUCUCUUGAUUGCCCUGCGUUUUGGAUAUCUAUUGCCUCUCGAUCUGUACUUUGUGGAUUCUUAUGAAAUUAAAAAACAGGUUCAGUGGGAGAUUAUGAACCAGAUAAUUUCUUAAUCUUGGGUGUUUCACAAUCAAUAUUUUGUUUUCAAGUAAAAGUAAAUUGGUUUCGGAAGCAGCUGAAUGGGAACGAUGAGGUAAUGCAAUGCAAGACCUGACAUUCAUGUAUUUUCUGAGUUCUCGUUGCAUGUUCCAAGCGGCAUGACUGUGGCUCUAGUUGUUGAGUGCGACAGUGGAAAGUCGACAGUGAUCAGCCUGUUGGAGAGGUUCUAUGAACCCCAAGCUGGUGAAGUACUCAUAGAUGACAUCAACUUGAAGAAGCUGCUGCUUGGAUGGAUCAGAGAGAAGAUUAGUCUUGUUAGCCAAGAGCCCAUCUUAUUCACAACUACUAUAAAGGAGAAUAUCGCAUAUGGUAAGGCAGGUGCUACAUUGGAAGAAAUCAGAACAGUAACUGAGAUUGCUAAUGCUGCAAGGUUUAUAGACAAGAUGCUGCAGGUCACUUGCUUGUACUUUUUUUUUUUUAGUAAAUUCAUACUACUCUCUCAAAGAUGUUGUGGGUGGAAGGCUAGGAAAGGAAGACAUUUGUAGUUUGUUUUGGUAAAUUAAUUGUUUUGUUGA
This is a long non-coding RNA of Magnolia sinica, 1638 nucleotides long. RefSeq lists it as uncharacterized. NCBI's taxonomy places the organism in Eukaryota, Viridiplantae, Streptophyta, Magnoliopsida, Magnoliales, Magnoliaceae. The record is from RefSeq and is a predicted model, not a curated record. The transcript is spliced from 2 exons.